AGAACGAACGCUGGCGGCAUGCCUAACACAUGCAAGUCGAACGCUUCCGGGGCUUCGGUCGCGGAGGAGUGGCGCACGGGUGAGUAGCGCGUGGGAACCUGCCCUGUUGUGGGGGAUAACCGAGGGAAACUUCGGCUAAUACCGCAUACGCCCCGGGACUUGGUCUUCGGAUUAGGUCUGGGGGGAAAGAUUGAUCGCAGCAGGAGGGGCCCGCGUCGGAUUAGCUGGUUGGUGGGGUAACGGCUCACCAAGGCGAUGAUCCGUAGCUGGUCUGAGAGGAUGAUCAGCCACACUGGGACUGAGACACGGCCCAGACUCCUACGGGAGGCAGCAGUGGGGAAUAUUGGACAAUGGGGGCAACCCUGAUCCAGCAAUGCCGCGUGAGUGAUGAAGGCCUUAGGGUGUAAAGCUCUUUCGCCCGCGACGAUGAUGACGGUAGCGGGAGAAGAGCCCGGCUAACUUCGUGCCAGCAGCCGCGGU
RNAcentral lists this ribosomal RNA (480 nucleotides) under uncultured bacterium. RNAcentral describes it as "SSU rRNA". It matches the Rfam family "Bacterial small subunit ribosomal RNA", at positions 26 to 521 of the family's 1533-position model. The record is from RNAcentral.